This 73-nucleotide transfer RNA is filed under the name bacterium. RNAcentral's name for it is "tRNA-Pro". It matches the Rfam family "tRNA". Rfam says of the family: Transfer RNA (tRNA) molecules are approximately 80 nucleotides in length. The record is from RNAcentral. RNAcentral also lists the same sequence under 2 other names.
CGGGGUGUAGCGCAGAUGGAAGCGCGCUUGGUUCGGGACCAAGAGGUCGCUGGUUCAAGUCCAGUCACCCCGA